GGAGAGAUGGCAGAGCCUGGCUGAAUGCGCCGCACUCGAAAUGCGGUAUAUCUUAAUUGAUAUCGGGGGUUCGAAUCCCUCUCUCUCCG
RNAcentral lists this transfer RNA (89 nucleotides) under Fidelibacterota bacterium. RNAcentral describes it as "tRNA-Ser". It matches the Rfam family "tRNA". From Rfam's summary of the family: Transfer RNA (tRNA) molecules are approximately 80 nucleotides in length. Their secondary structure includes four short double-helical elements and three loops (D, anti-codon, and T loops). Further hydrogen bonds mediate the characteristic L-shaped molecular structure. tRNAs have two regions of fundamental functional importance: the anti-codon, which is responsible for specific mRNA codon recognition, and the 3' end, to which the tRNAs corresponding amino acid is attached (by aminoacyl-tRNA synthetases). tRNAs cope with the degeneracy of the genetic code in two manners: having more than one tRNA (with a specific anti-codon) for a particular amino acid; and 'wobble' base-pairing, i.e. permitting non-standard base-pairing at the 3rd anti-codon position. Lineage: Bacteria; Pseudomonadati; Fidelibacterota. The record is from RNAcentral.